RNAcentral lists this ribosomal RNA (253 nucleotides) under uncultured bacterium. RNAcentral describes it as "partial 16S ribosomal RNA". It matches the Rfam family "Bacterial small subunit ribosomal RNA", at positions 524 to 776 of the family's 1533-position model. The record is from RNAcentral.
UACAGAGGUCUCAAGCGUUGUUCGGAUUCAUUGGGCGUAAAGGGUGUGUAGGUGGCGCUGUAAGUCGGGUGUGAAAUUUCGGAGCUUAACUCCGAAACUGCAUUCGAUACUGCGGUGCUUGAGGACUGGAGAGGAGACUGGAAUUUACGGUGUAGCGGUGAAAUGCGUAGAUAUCGUAAGGAAGACCAGUGGCGAAGGCGGGUCUCUGGACAGUUCCUGACGCUGAGGCGCGAAAGCCAGGGGAGCGAACGGG